This 279-nucleotide unclassified non-coding RNA is filed under the name plant metagenome. RNAcentral describes it as "partial contains small subunit ribosomal RNA, internal transcribed spacer 1, and 5.8S ribosomal RNA". The record is from RNAcentral.
UCUCCGUUGGUGAACCAGCGGAGGGAUCAUUACCAGAGUCUUAAACUUCCCAACCCCUCUGUGAACCUACCUCUCGUUGCUUCGGCGGACUCGCCCCAGCGUCCGCACGGCCCCGCGCCGGCCCCCGACCCGGAUCCAUGCCGCGGCUGUAUACCAAACAAUCCUGUUACCAUUAGUCUUUCUGAAUCCGCCGCAAGGCAAAACAAACGAAUCAAAACUUUCAACAAUCGGUCUCUUAGUUCUGGCAACGACGAAGAACGCAGCUGAACGGAAGUGCCC